GAUGAACGCUAGCUACAGGCUUAACACAUGCAAGUCGCGGGGCAGCAUGGGGGUUGCUUGCACUCCCCGAUGGCGACCGGCGCACGGGUGAGUAACGCGUAUCCAACCUGCCCUUCACCACGGGAUAACCCGGCGAAAGUCGGACUAAUACCGUAUGUUGUCCAUUGACGGCAUCCGAUUUGGACGAAAGGUUUGGCGGGGAAGGAUGGGGAUGCGUCCGAUUAGCUGGACGGCGGGGUGACGGCCCACCGUGGCGACGAUCGGUAGGGGUUCUGAGAGGAAGGUCCCCCACACUGGAACUGAGACACGGUCCAGACUCCUACGGGAGGCAGCAGUGAGGAAUAUUGGUCAAUGGGCGUAAGCCUGAACCAGCCAAGUAGCGUGCAGGAUGACGGCCCUAUGGGUUGUAAACUGCUUUUAUGCGGGGAUAAAGUGGCCCACGUGUGGGUUUUUGCAGGUACCGCAUGAAUAAGGACCGGCUAAUUCCGUG
Molecule: ribosomal RNA, 490 nt
Filed under: uncultured bacterium
Lineage: Bacteria
Description: partial 16S ribosomal RNA
Rfam family: Bacterial small subunit ribosomal RNA
Source: RNAcentral